GACGAACGCUGGCGGCGUGCUUAACACAUGCAAGUCGAACGGAAAGGCACUGCGUUUGUGGUGUGCUCGAGUGGCGAACGCGUGAGGAUCACGUGAGUAACCUGCCCUUGACUUUGGGAUAACUUCAGGAAACUGGGGCUACUACCGUAUAGCAUCUCCUGCUGCAUGGUGGGGGUUGGAAAUUUUCGGCUGUUGGGGAUGGACUCGCGGCUUAUCAGCUUGUUGGUGGGGUAGGGGCUUGCCAAGGCUUGGGCGGGUAGGCGGCCCGAGAGGGUGACCGGCCACAUUGGGACUGAGAUACGGACCAGAGUGCUACGGGAGGCAGCAGUGGGGAAUAUUACACAAUGGGAGGAAGCCUGAUGCAGAAACGCCGCGUGCGGGAUGACGGUCUUCGGGGUGUAAAACGCUUUAGCCUGUGACGACGCGUGAGUGACGGUAAUGAGUAAAGAAGCACCGGCUAACUACGUG
RNAcentral lists this ribosomal RNA (468 nucleotides) under uncultured bacterium. RNAcentral describes it as "partial 16S ribosomal RNA". It matches the Rfam family "Bacterial small subunit ribosomal RNA", at positions 28 to 507 of the family's 1533-position model. The record is from RNAcentral.